This is a non-coding RNA of Rhopilema esculentum, 7737 nucleotides long. The record is from RefSeq and is a predicted model, not a curated record. Lineage: Eukaryota; Metazoa; Cnidaria; Scyphozoa; Rhizostomeae; Rhizostomatidae.
AUAGACGGGAGAAAUUAACGUUUUUUGUUGUCAAUAGUUAAAUCCAGCAUGAAGAUAUGAACCUUUGAUCUAACUUGCUACAUUGGAUAGAAACGGGUUUGCGGCAAAUAAGCAUCAAAGGCAAGAAUUAAUUGGUAUCAUGGACAUAGAUAAGAAAAGACCAUCCUUGGUUUUAAUACAGUGAAUUUCCUAUUUGAUGUUAUUGGAUUUAGGGCUUAGGCUGUUGCUAUGGCAGAAGAGGACCUUCUUAUGCGCUGAAAUCCCUUUAGGAUUUUGAAGUAGGACUGUUAGUAAUCAUCCUUCCGCAAGACAUACACCCAUCAAUAAAUCGACAUUUGUAUUAUGCUGUUGCGUAGCAAAGGUUUUGCCUUUUUUGCAUAAUCCAUCAACACAGCGAGAGUAUUUAUUAAUAUCAAUAUAUUUGAAAUAGCAGCACCCCCACAUCGAAGGGAUUAUCAAACAAGAAAUCUUCGAAGUGCAGUAUCUGCAUUACGUAUUUCAUGCAUUGUCCACGGCAUUCGGGCGUUUUGAUAUCUUCGACUCUCGAGCUAACGAUCGUUUCCAAGGCUCAGUUUUUCAAGUUAAUGGUUAAAGAGAACAGUUCGAAGAUAUCUACUAACAGACAAUGAGACAGUUAAAAGAAUGUAAUGGUGGAUUACCUUCAUAACAAUAUUACAUCUAUUUCGCUAUUGUACGAGUUGUUUAGCUGAGACCAAAGAUACCUGGCCCUGCUUGUCAAUCAAAGCCACUGUUGUCACAAAAGUUCAGUCAUGGUGCUGGUAGCCUAUUGAAUUGAAAGAAAAGAGUUUCAAAAAAUUUAUAUUUUCUCAGAUUACAUUGUAGUUCGGGAUGAUUUAAACCUCAAACACGAAAAGAAGACUUCCCUGGCAUUAUGUCAAUAUGAUCAAAAAACUUUGUAGCCAUCUUCAAGCCUUUUUGCCACAAGAACUAUUUCAGCUCGAGAAAGUGAAAUAAGUAGAUCACACAAAGGGUCGCGAGCUACAGAUAGAAGUCAUCGGCUCAAGAAAUACUUCGUCAAUUUACCAAAAAUCAAGUUGCAAUGCAUGAUGGACUUUAUCAUAAGGCUCCUUUUUAAUUACAGCUGUUGGCUGAAAGUUUACAUUGUAGCGACGGAGGCAUUGCUGCAAUCUUAUCGCUGUGCAGGAGUUUAAACAAUGAGGAUAACGCAGUUGAGGAUUUUUGCCAUUGUAUUAACUAUGCUUGGCACACUACUAACAAUCGUUGCUUUUUCGACCAAUGAUUGGUAUGGCAUCUCAACGUAUUCACAGUUCCAAACUAAGUCAGUUGAUUUUUCCUAUGGAUUGUUUUAUUAUUGCGCCGAUGGAGAUUGCUCUACAAUUAAGACGAAAGAAAGUUGGAGAAAAGCAGUGAUUGGAUUAAUGGCUGCGGCCGUCAUCCUCGGAUGCUUGUCGAUUGUCAUCAUCUUGUCUGUCAUUUUCUGCAACAAAAAGUUCAAGCAUACGAGCAUACUGAUGUUAUUAUCAGCGUUUCUGCAACUCGCCACAUUAAUAAUCUUUCCACUUAAGAUGAAUCUUUCGAGGGAAAGUAGCUUGGGCAUCUCGUAUUACGUCGCUUGUGUUGGUUUGAUAGUGUCUGCUGGAGCUGGCAUAAUUGCAUUUGCUUCGAAAGAAGAGCAAGUUGCACCAUUCCAUGACAUAUCAUCCUGAUCAAUGCUGCUUACAGAAGUGGUCAGAAGUAAAUCAAGUAAAGGCAUGUGAAAUAAAGAGAGUUUCCCUUCUUUGUUCUUAUUUGUCCCAUUACAAUAAAUACUAACUAUGAAUUUCAUGAUAUAAAUAUGGACGAAUGACGAUUCAAAAUAGUCUCCAUAGUAUAUGAUAGUAUACGUCAGUUUGACGCAAAAGAAAAUUUGUCGUGCGGAUUUUCAUGGGAAGAGACAGAGGAAUACAGAAUCUAUAAGUGAACUUGAGGAUCUAAGGUCCCAUUUUGCUAACUAGAUCUUUUGUAGUUUUCCUUGUUCAAGUGAAAUCUGUCAAGCGAUUGUCAUCGAUUAAAUCGUAUGCUUUUGAAACUUGUAAAACGUUUGGUCUAUUUUACAUAAGUUUAAAACACAAGUUUUAUAGUUCUAUUAGUUACAGUUGGCCGAAACCCUUAUUCUCCUUACCUUAUCGCGUAAAGAUAAGCGUUGCAUUAUCGCUAAAUCUGUUUGAGGCCGCCCAAUAAAGUUCCAGCAUGUGUGGAUUCGACCAGAACAGAACGGAUCCAAAUCAAAACAGUGAGAAUCGCAACAUCUAUUGCAAAAAGAACGAAUGUACCCUGGGUACCAGGGCCAUAGAAAUUCGAGCGCGUAAACAGAAUACUAAGCAGAGAAGCGGAGGAGUGCUCCACUCCUAUCUUCUAUCUCCGUUCUUGAAUUUAUGUGGCUCUGGUACCUAAGGCAGAUCGAAUGAAGCAAGCAUACAUCAUUUCCAGAAGUAUGCAAAUAAGCAAAGAUUCAACAGUAUUUUAUUCUUUCGACCUCGUGUGCACUCAGUGUAUGACCUCGAUUUAGAUUUAUCUUUUAUCUGUCAAGUUUUAACAUGACAUCAAUUCGAAUGGCGCCAGAUCUGUAUAUAUUAAACGACUGUAAAGUUCAUGAUCAAACUAAAUAAUUUAUCCCCUUCUUACCAAGGUGCGAUAGAAGCUAUAAAAAUCUUGUAGAACUCCUCUGAUGAUAAUCUAUUGACGGUUAUCUCAACGGACAUCUAAUAAAAACAUCGCAUUUAAUGCGAGACGUAGUAUCAAUCUUAAACUUAAGACAUAUGCAUUUUGCGCAUUUUCACGCUGCGCAUAUCAAACGAUUUUCACGUUGCGCAUAUCAAACGACAGUUAACAAAAAAUUUGAAAUACCAGGGCCACUGGGACAAAGAGCUCUUGCCUUUAUCUAACGUUAGCUAUAUGUAGCUGGCUUGAAGAAUAAACAUCUUUAAAACACAGAAGUGUUUGCAUAAAUUGAAAAAUAUGGAUUCAGGAAUAUGAAAACUGUAUAGGUAAAAGAUAAAUCGAAUGAAGAAGACCAUCCAGAUUUUAAAAUACAUGUCUCAUUUUGUUUUUAAAUUUUACAUCUAUUUGGGCAAGUUUUGCUUUGGGAUGCUGCAAUCAUAUUCAUUCUAAUAAGGUCAAUAUAGUGUUUAUCUUGAUAAAUGUUCUAUCUUAAUAAAUGUUCUAUUUGUAGUAAUGUAGAGUCUAGGCAUAGAAUUUUAUGACAAAGUUUUGGAUGUAAAUAUUCUUUGUAAUAUUUUAAAAUUAUUUAGAGAAUAGAAAUUACAAAGCAUGAUUUGAAUAAUUUAGCCGGAUUUCUCAUUCGUGUUACUAAGACUUCUUUUUAGAAUUUAGUCAUUAAAAAUCUAUUGCAUUCGAACUUUUGACUGAUCUGCUCUAAGUCAAAUUGAAGACGCCAUAGGAACUUUUCGAGAAACAUGACAUCAGAAAUAUUUUUGGAAAGGAAAUUAACCAAGUGAUAUGGAUUCUAUUUACCCAUGUCAAUAAGUGAAAUACCACUUUCUCUCUUUUCACCGCGAAACUAUCUCCCUCGAACUACAAUCCCCAUCCAAACGCUGAUAUAAGCGACUUUUUCCUCGGGGUUCCUCGAGGGUAAUAAACACGGACAACCACGAUAGCCUCGUAUUGAUUUUCGCGGGAAAUUGACAAACUUCUAGAUCCAGAUCUCUGCCCCCAUAAAGAAGGAUCACAGAAGACUGCGUCCCACGAGUUGUCAGAUGACAAUGUUUGAAGACAGCUUCUUGAACUUGUAGAAACCCUGAAAGAGUCAUAAUUAUGCUCUGGUCGGAAGCAACAGAAAAUGUCAGGAUUCUAUUUGAAUGAAGAUGGCAAGUGUCUUUUUAACUUUGACAAGAAAGUUACAGCUAGGAUGUUAGACAUGACAGGAGAUGUGGAGAGAUCUACUUAAUAAUCUCCAGCUCAGCAGCGACGAAUUUCCAUGGAAAGACUGACUAAAGCAGGCACCAGAAAUUGCACAUAUAUAAGAAAAAUACGUCACUGACUACGCUGAUACUUAUGAGAAAGAUUUAAGAAAAGCAAGCUGUAAUCGCAAAUUUACAUGUUGCCAGAGCAGGCCUACUUAUUGCUACAUUUGGGUAUGCAAUCGUCAUGAUGCUUCUGUACUUUGUCGAGAAACACGCGAUGAAAAAUUUUCGAAUCCCAGCCUUUGCCUGCUUUCUGCCAUUUUCCAGUACGUUGGUUGCAAUGGCUGCUUUCACGGCUGGUGUAUACAAAAAUGCUGUGGUGAAGACAAUUUCUUUUUCUUGGUCGUAUUAUUUCGGAUGGACCUCUUUAGUGCUUUUAGUUGCUGCUAUAAUGAUUGGAAUAGGGGAAAGGCAGAGAAUACACGCUGUUGCCGUCAGCUGAUAAAUCGUUAAUACGAUGUUUGAUGUCAUUAGGAAGUUUAAAUUAAUUUAUUCAUAUAGAAAAUUUAAUGAUAUUAUUCAAUGUGCAAACGUUUUUUAAUGUUAUGUCUAUUUAUGUUGUGCUGUGUCAGGCAUCUGUGAGAACUGAAAGAAGUUCUGUUCUUUGUAAAACCAACUCUAUUGACAACGAGCAAUACCAUUGUUUAUAAAAAUGAAAUUUAAUGACAGUGACCCCAAAUGCUGUUAGGGAUGAAUGCUAUUAAAAAUUUCUUUUCUUUUCCACAGAGGACUUUUUCACAAAAGGUAGCAAUGCGAUAUUUGUCUGCCCCCCUGCCCCCCUUCCCUCUCUUCCCUGAUUGACUAAGGUAUUUCUCGAAGGUGAAAGAAGUUGCUUCAGAUGACUCAUCUAACAUUAUUGUCUUUAAACGAGUUUAGGUCUUUUGGUUGGUGUUCCAAAAAGUCCACUUGUGCUAUAAAUUGGAAGACUAAUUGUUUCAACCAUUGUUUCAACAAGUGCGUUUUAGAGGUUCCUCAAUUUUAUGGUAAUGCACACCCCCGUCCUCUGCCCGGGGGAGGAAGAGAAAGGGAAAUAUUGGCAUUUCUAAGAGUUCCAUCAUCCAUAGCAUUCAAUCUUCAAAGUACCAAUGAUCUCAAUCUAGCAUUGUUGGAAGUUUUCUAUAUCUUGCAGAAUUUUGGUGCAAGUUCAUUAUCUUCAAUGCAUAGAGUAUCAUAUUCUUCAAUAUAGAGAAGUAAUGACACACACACAACCCAAUACUUCUCUCUCAUUACAUAUUAACCCUCAUAGUGUUGCACAGAGCCUACGACGUGAAUUUGAAAGUGGGGGGGGGGGGCAAAGCUUCUUUCCCCUUUUACUGCAGCUUUAAAACUAUUUGCUUCGCAAAAAAGGUGGGGAGGACCAUGGCCACCCCGGCCCUGCGGGUGGUGUGGGCCCUGUUGCCACCUUCUAUAAAGACCUCUCUUGCUCUAAUUACACGUUUGGGUGUUUUCUUCCCUGCUCCUAAAAAUUCUUAAAGGCUUCUGUUUUAACCCAUUCCAAAUCCAAAAAUUAAAUGUUCCUUGUACCCCUAUACAUAACCAGUCGUGGUCUCAGGGCUCAAUAAGAUAUUUUUUCAGACAAUCAAGCCACGAAAAUAUCCAGUCUAAUCCGUGUCUAACAGAAAGUUCCGGAGAAUGUUAUGUAUACUCCAAACUUCUAACAAAGAUAGGUGAUUUUGCAAUGUAACCCAGAAGAAGAUUUUUUAUCUAAAUUAUUUUAUUUUAAUUUCGUGCUGUUUAGAAAUGUUUUUGCAUUAUCAAGAUCUCUUAAGAUCGUGUAAUCAUUCCCAUAAUUCUGUAGUCAAGCAUAUUCAACCUUUAGCAUAUUUGCGAUGCAUAGAAUUGGAAAGACGCUUUUGAUGUAUAGAACAGAACGGUUCUAAGAGGUGACUACACGUUCUUUUUAUAAGAAAAUUUCUUUCAGCCCAGCCCUCAGAUUUUCAUAGCUAUUUUCUUAUUUCAGCCAUAAAAAUUUUUUAAACACUUUCUUAACGAAAAAUUGGACAGUUUUACAUUACUAAGCAUGCGCAGUGAUGGAGAAGAUGAAAUGCUAUAAAUAUGCUAUAUUUCUCAAAAAACCCCAACGUCAUACUGUAUUUAUCUUUUUGAAUAACCGAGCAAAACUUUCUUAUAAAAAAAACGUGUACGAGUUUCACGCUUAAUGCGACCAACAGGCAACUGUUCCAUCCCUAAUUGAAUAUAGAAAAAACCUCCGUUUGGAUUCAUUGAAAAUCGCCAAUACUGAAGAAGCUUUGAAGGCUAUUCUUUGAGUUGAAUCCCUUCUUCCCCCUGAGCUAUAUCCUCUGACAGGUACUCCAAUGUAAUUAUUUCAAUGACUGCAAGCUCAUGAAACUUUAAAUAGUAAUCGUUUUAUGUCCAGUUAAGCGAAUCUGUUGCAGUAUACUGUUGCAGUGUACUGUUGCAGCUUCUGUUAAAGGUUACUGAAACCAGUUCUCUCCAGAUUUCUUGACGUUUCCUCGUUCACAAAGCCAGGCGUAUUGUGGUUUUCAUUUGCGGCUUCGCCUGUCCCCGAGACAAUCAAACUAAGGCUGGCGGCUACACAAGAAUAAGCAAACAAGAUUCAGCACUUUUGAAAUCAAGAUGGCCUUCACCAAACUUGAGUUGGUGAGCAUUCUUCUCAUCGGGGUAGCGACAAUCUUUAUGAUCGUUGGUGUCAGUACAAACUAUUGGAUUCAAACACAGGAUGCAGAGGGGAUUGUACAGAGCAGCACCGGAUUGUGGAAAACUUGUACCUACAACGAAAAGGGAGAAGCGACUUGUUCGUCACUGACCAGUCAAAAGAACACGGGUGAUGGCGUUUUCAUGGAAUGGGCAGAUUGGCUGUAUGUCCAGAAGACAGUUGCUUUCAUGUCAAUCAUUCUAGGCGUCAUAUUGCUCUUUGCCUUCUUUGUUUACCGAUGUUCUGAUGGCAAAUGUGCAAGGUUCAUCCAAGCUGGUUUGAUCCUAAUGACUACCACAAGUUUCCUAGCGUUUGGUCUGUUUGUGGUUCAUAUGCCUACAGCGCCACCAUCUUUAGUUCGAGGUUAUUCUUUCGUGUUAUUCACGACAGGUAGUUGCAUGACAUUAAUUGCAACGUGCCUAACAAUGUUCAAAAUUUGCAUGCCUGAAAAGGACUCGAAAACAGGAAGAGCAAGACAACCACAGAGAGUCUGAGGAUUGUAGAUUUGGAAAGGCCUGCAAUACAAAAAAAUGUUGCAAAGUUUCUAGCUGGUGGUGUAAUUCUCUUUAAAAGAGCGAUGAAAUUUUUUUUGAUGAUCGUAGAAAUUAAACAGAACACUCCAAGGUAGAUUCACAUGAUGAAAUGAAGUUGUUAGCCUACUACUGGUGCAAGGUGUAAAUUUUUGACUUUGUGAUAGCAGAUUGCAUGUCACCUUUACGUAAACAGUUUACAAAAUAUUUUAUACCUCUAUCGUCAAGAGUCUUUCUUUUUUGCAUAAGCUGCUAUGCAUAAGCAAAGAAACCAGUCUAUCAUAAUACCAUUUAAUUGCUGUCAUCGGUUUUCAUGUUUUCUGUACAUCUUCAUAUUUAACACUGAAGCCCUGUAUUUAAUCUUUAGGAAUGAUGGCUACUUCUUUGUGUUUGUUUGCUCAGAAUUAAACAUUUUUCUUCAUUAUGCUUCUAUAGUCAUGCAUUUAGAAAAUGUUGAUAUAAUUCUUUUAUUAAGUGUUAAUCAGUGAUUUUGCCUUGUAAAUCUGGUCUUUGUAGUAAUGGAAAUAGAUGUUUGUUACGGCUAAUGUAAAUUUGAAGGUUUUUUAUUAGACCAACUAAAACAUCA